RNAcentral lists this ribosomal RNA (497 nucleotides) under uncultured bacterium. Its description in RNAcentral is "partial 16S ribosomal RNA". It matches the Rfam family "Bacterial small subunit ribosomal RNA", at positions 28 to 507 of the family's 1533-position model. The record is from RNAcentral.
GAUGAACGCUGGCGGCGUGCCUAAUACAUGCAAGUCGAGCGAACGGACGAGAAGCUUGCUUCUCUGAUGUUAGCGGCGGACGGGUGAGUAACACGUGGAUAACCUACCUAUAAGACUGGGAUAACUUCGGGAAACCGGAGCUAAUACCGGAUAAUAUUUUGAACCGCAUGGUUCAAAAGUGAAAGACGGUCUUGCUGUCACUUAUAGAUGGAUCCGCGCUGCAUUAGCUAGUUGGUAAGGUAACGGCUUACCAAGGCAACGAUGCAUAGCCGACCUGAGAGGGUGAUCGGCCACACUGGAACUGAGACACGGUCCAGACUCCUACGGGAGGCAGCAGUAGGGAAUCUUCCGCAAAGGGCGAAAGCCUGACGGAGCAACGCCGCGUGAGUGAUGAAGGUCUUCGGAUCGUAAAACUCUGUUAUUAGGGAAGAACAUAUGUGUAAGUAACUGUGCACAUCUUUACGGUACCUAAUCAGAAAGCCACGGCUAACUACGUG